RNAcentral lists this ribosomal RNA (464 nucleotides) under uncultured Desulfobulbus sp. RNAcentral describes it as "bacterial SSU rRNA". It matches the Rfam family "Bacterial small subunit ribosomal RNA", at positions 924 to 1382 of the family's 1533-position model. The record is from RNAcentral. Lineage: Bacteria; Pseudomonadati; Thermodesulfobacteriota; Desulfobulbia; Desulfobulbales; Desulfobulbaceae.
GACAAGCGGUGGAGUAUGUGGUUUAAUUCGAUGCAACGCGAAGAACCUUACCUGGUCUUGACAUCCCGGAGACCCUUAGGAAACUAGGGGGUGCUUCCAUCUGGAAGAAUCUGGAGACAGGUGCUGCAUGGCUGUCGUCAGCUCGUGUCGUGAGAUGUUGGGUUAAGUCCCGCAACGAGCGCAACCCUUGCCUUUAGUUGCCAGCAGUUCGGCUGGGCACUCUAAAGGGACUGCCGGUGUUAAACCGGAGGAAGGUGGGGAUGACGUCAAGUCCUCAUGGCCUUUAUGACCAGGGCUACACACGUACUACAAUGGCCGAUACAAAGGGCAGCGACACUGCGAGGUGAAGCCAAUCCCGUAAAAUCGGUCUCAGUCCGGAUUGGAGUCUGCAACUCGACUCCAUGAAGUUGGAAUCGCUAGUAAUCGUGGAUCAGCAUGCCACGGUGAAUACGUUCCCGGGCCUU